This 381-nucleotide ribosomal RNA is filed under the name uncultured fungus. RNAcentral describes it as "SSU rRNA". It matches the Rfam family "Eukaryotic small subunit ribosomal RNA", at positions 585 to 972 of the family's 1831-position model. The record is from RNAcentral. Lineage: Eukaryota; Fungi.
CCAGCUCCAAUAGCGUAUAUUAAAGUUGUUGCAGUUAAAAAGCUCGUAGUUGAAUUUCAGAGGAGAGCUUCCGGUCUUGGUUUGACCAUGUACUGGAACGUUCGAAUCUUUUUUCUGGGGAAACGACAUGUCCUUCACUGGGCGUGUCGCAGAACCAGGACGAUUACCUUGAGAAAAAUAGAGUGUUCAAAGCAGGCUUUUGCUUGAAUACGUUAGCAUGGAAUAAUAAAAUAGGACGAUGGACCUAUUUUGUUGGUUUUAAGGACCAUAGUCAUGAUGAAUAGGGACAGUUGGGGGCAUUCGUAUUCCGAAGCUAGAGGUGAAAUUCUUGGAUUUUCGGAAGACGAACUACUGCGAAAGCAUUUGCCAAGGAUGUUUUCA